UUGAACUCUGCAAAUUCACCCCGUAAGUUCGCGAUAAGGGGUACCCUUGAGGGUGCAAGCCUUCGAGGGUCACAGAAAAUCGGCUCUAGCAACUGUUUAUCAAAAACACAGGACUCUGCUAACUCGCAAGAGGAUGUAUAGAGUCUGACGCCUGCCCGGUGUUGGUAGGUUAAGGAAGAAGGUUAGCCUCACGGCGAAGCUUGCGACCGAAGCCCCAAUAAACGGCGGCCGUAACUAUGACGGUCCUAAGGUAGCGAAGUUCCUUGUCGGGUAAGUUCCGACCUGCAUGAAUGGCGUAAUGACUGGAGCACUGUCUCAACCACCAACCCGGUGAAAUUGUAGUCGUGGUGAAGAUGCCACGUACCCGCGGUUAGACGGAAAGACCCCAUGAACCUUGACUGUAGGCUGAUAUUGGGCUGAGAUUUGUUUUGUGUAGGAUAGGUGGGAGGCUUUGAACCGGUGGCGCCAGCCAUUGGGGAGCCAACGUCGAAAUACCACCCUGAACAUGUUUUAGUUCUAACCUCGAUCCAGUGAAACCUGGCGAGGGACAGUGUCAGCUGGGCAGUUUGACUGGGGCGGUCUCCUCCAAAAGAGUAACGGAGGAGUACAAAGGCACCCUCAGCCUGGUCGGCGAUCAGGCACUGUGCGCAAUGGUAGAAGGGUGCUCAACUGCGAGACCGAUAAGUCGAGCAGAUGUGAAAGCAGGUCAUAGUGAUCCGGUGAUUCCGUAUGGAAGGGUCAUCGCUCAUCAGAUAAAAGGUACUCUGGGGAUAACAGGCUGAUCGCUACCGAGCGUCCACAGCGGCGUAGCGGUUUGGCACCUCGAUGUCGGCUCAUCACAUCCUGGGGGUGUAGAAGCUCCCAAGGGUUUGGCUGUUCGCCAAUGAAAGUGGUACGUGAGCUGGGUUCAGACCGUCGUGAGACAGGUCGGUCCCUAUCUGCCGUGGGCGUACGAAACUUGAGGAGCCUCUUCUUUAGUACGAGAGGAUUUGGAAGGACACAGCUCUGGUGUACCAGUUGUCACGCUAGUGGCACGGCCGGAUAGCUAUCUGUGGAAAGGAUAAACGCUGAAAGCAUCUAAGCGUGAAGCCCGCUCCAAGAAUAGGUUUCGUAAGAGCAACGCUCGAAAGUCCCCUUGAAGACGACAAGGAUGAUAGGCCGGAUGUGUAAGUUCAGUAAUGGAUUUAGCUAACCGGUACUAACGGACAAACGCUUGGCCAC
RNAcentral lists this ribosomal RNA (1221 nucleotides) under metagenome. RNAcentral's name for it is "bacterial LSU rRNA". It matches the Rfam family "Bacterial large subunit ribosomal RNA", at positions 1708 to 2925 of the family's 2925-position model. The record is from RNAcentral.